This 253-nucleotide ribosomal RNA is filed under the name uncultured bacterium. RNAcentral's name for it is "partial 16S ribosomal RNA". It matches the Rfam family "Bacterial small subunit ribosomal RNA", at positions 524 to 776 of the family's 1533-position model. The record is from RNAcentral.
UACGGAGGGGGCUAGCGUUGUUCGGAAUUACUGGGCGUAAAGCGCGCGUAGGCGGCUUUGUAAGUUAGAGGUGAAAGCCCGGAGCUCAACUCCGGAAUUGCCUUUAAGACUGCAUCGCUAGAAUCAUGGAGAGGUUAGUGGAAUUCCGAGUGUAGAGGUGAAAUUCGUAGAUAUUCGGAAGAACACCAGUGGCGAAGGCAGCCCCCUGGGUCAAGAUUGACGCUCAUGCACGAAAGCGUGGGGAGCAAACAGG